AGAGUGUGAUCCUGGCUCAGAACGAACGCUGGCGGCGUGCUUAACACAGUGCAAGUUCGAGUGCGCGCUUCGGUAGCAAUACUGGAGCGGCGCACGGCGCACGGGGUGCGGUAACACGUGGGGAAUCUGCCCUUCGAUGGGGAAUUAACCUGNCGAAAGCGAGGCUAAUUCCGCAUAACAUUUCCGAGGAUUUCGGUUCUUGGAUUCAAAGGAGCAAUUCGUCGGAGGAGGAGCCCGCGCACGAUUAGCUAGUUGGUAGGGUAAUGGCCUACCAAGGCUUUGAUCGUUAGCUGGUCUGAGAGGAUGGCCAGCCACACUGGAACUGAGACACGGUCCAGACUCCUACGGGAGGCAGCAGUGGGGAAUCUUGCGCAAUGGGCGAAAGCCUGACGGAGCGACGCCGCGUGUGGGAAGAACGCCUUCGGGGUCGUAAACC
RNAcentral lists this ribosomal RNA (436 nucleotides) under uncultured bacterium. RNAcentral describes it as "bacterial SSU rRNA". It matches the Rfam family "Bacterial small subunit ribosomal RNA", at positions 8 to 431 of the family's 1533-position model. The record is from RNAcentral.